RNAcentral lists this ribosomal RNA (253 nucleotides) under uncultured bacterium. Its description in RNAcentral is "partial 16S ribosomal RNA". It matches the Rfam family "Bacterial small subunit ribosomal RNA", at positions 524 to 776 of the family's 1533-position model. The record is from RNAcentral.
UACGUAGGGGGCAAGCGUUGUCCGGAUUCAUUGGGCGUAAAGAGCGUGUAGGCGGCCAGGUAGGUCGGUUGUGAAAACUGGAGGCUCAACCUUCAGAGGUCGACCGAAACCUUCUGGCUAGAGUCCGGGAGAGGAGAGUGGAAUUCCUGGUGUAGCGGUGAAAUGCGCAGAUAUCAGGAAGAACACCCGUGGCGAAAGCGGCUCUCUGGAACGGUACUGACGCUGAGACGCGAAAGCGUGGGGAGCGAACCGG